This 1242-nucleotide ribosomal RNA is filed under the name metagenome. RNAcentral's name for it is "bacterial LSU rRNA". It matches the Rfam family "Bacterial large subunit ribosomal RNA", at positions 1564 to 2815 of the family's 2925-position model. The record is from RNAcentral.
UGAAUACGAGACGCUAAGGCGUCGAAGUAGUGUAUGUCAUACUUCCAAGAAAAGCUUGCACUGUCAUAGAUAAAAAACGCCUGUACCAUAACCGACACAGGUGGGUAGGUAGAGUAUACUAAGGGGCGCGAGAUAACUCUCUCUAAGGAACUCGGCAAAAUAACUCCGUAACUUCGGGAGAAGGAGUGCCUUAUUCGUAAGGUUGCAAUAACAAGAUCCAAGCAACUGUUUAUCAAAAACACAGGUCUCCGCUAAGUCGUAGGACGAUGUAUGGGGGCUGACGCCUGCCCAGUGCCAGAAGGUUAAAGAAGUUGGUUAGCAAUUGCGAAGCUGAUAACUGAAGCCCUGGUGAACGGCGGCCGUAACGAUAACGGUCCUAAGGUAGCGAAAUUCCUUGUCGGGUAAGUUCCGACCCGCACGAAAGGCGUAAUGAUUUGGAUACUGUCUCGGAGAGGGGCUCGGUGAAAUAGACUUGUCUGUGAAGAUGCGGACUACCUGCACCAGGACAGAAAGACCCUAUGAAGCUUUACUGUAACUUGAAAUUGAAAUUGGACUUUAUUCGCGCAGUAUAGGUGGGAGGCGUUGAUUAUAAUCUUGUGGGAUUAUUGGAGCCAUCAGUGAGAUACCACUCUUGUAAUGUUAGAUUUCUAACUUUGAAUCAUUAUCUGGUCAAAGAACAGUUUCAGGCGGGCAGUUUGACUGGGGCGGUCGCCUCCUAAACGGUAACGGAGGCGUACAAAGGUUUCCUCUGAACGGUUAGAAAUCGUAUCUAGAGUGUAAAGGCAUAAGGAAGCUUGACUGUGAGACCUACAAGUCGAGCAGGGACGAAAGUCGGUCUUAGUGAUCUGACGGUACUGAGUGGAAAGGCCGUCACUCAACGGAUAAAAGUUACUCUAAGGAUAACAGGCUGAUCUCCCCCAAGAGUUCACAUCGACGGGGAGGUUUGGCACCUCGAUGUCGGCUCAUCGCAUCCUGGGGCGGUAGUACGUCCCAAGGGUUGGGCUGUUCGCCCAUGAAAGCGGUACGCGAGCUGGGUUCAGAACGUCGUGAGACAGUUCGGUCCAUAUCCGGUGUAGGCGUUAGAAUAUUGAGAGGAGCCUUCUUUAGUACGAGAGGACCGAGAAGGACAUACCUCUGGUGUACCAGUUAUCGUGCCAACGGUAAACGCUGGGUAGCUAUGUAUGGAGUGGAUAACCGCUGAAAGCAUCUAAGUGGGAAGCCCACCUCAAGAUAAGUAUUCUC